GACGAACGCUGGCGGCGUGCCUAAUACAUGCAAGUCGAGCGGACGGAUGGGAGCUUGCUCCCAGACCGUCAGCGGCGGACGGGUGAGUAACCCGUGGGCAACCUGCCUGUAAGACUGGGAUAACUCCGGGAAACCGGGGCUAAUACCGGAUAACUCUUUCCCUCACAUGAGGGAAAGCUGAAAGAUGGCAUCUCGCUAUCACUUACAGAUGGGCCCGCGGCGCAUUAGCUAGUUGGUGAGGUAACGGCUCACCAAGGCGACGAUGCGUAGCCGACCUGAGAGGGUGAUCGGCCACACUGGGACUGAGAAACGGCCCAGACUCCUACGGGAGGCAGCAGUAGGGAAUCUUCCGCAAUGGACGAAAGUCUGACGGAGCAACGCCGCGUGAGUGAUGAAGGUUUUCGGAUCGUAAAACUCUGUUGUCAGGGAAGAACAAGUACCGGAGUAACUGCCGGUACCUUGACGGUACCUGACCAGAAAGCCACGGCUAACUACGUG
This 498-nucleotide ribosomal RNA is filed under the name uncultured bacterium. RNAcentral's name for it is "partial 16S ribosomal RNA". It matches the Rfam family "Bacterial small subunit ribosomal RNA", at positions 28 to 507 of the family's 1533-position model. The record is from RNAcentral.